AAGGCCGUUGACGGGCAGCAACACUGAAGUAGUGCGGCGGCAAUCGCCACUGGCCCUGUUCCUGCCCGGGCUGUCAGGGCGGGAAGAGGCGGUGAGGACUGAGGUGGAGGGAUUGCUUGCAGGCGGCUGGGUUUGCCCCUCGCUCCUGAGGACGGCCAGCAGGUGGAGGCGGCUCCCGGGUCCCUCCCGCGUUGCUACUGGUGGCUCUGUGGGCAGAUAGGGUUUCUCUGGGCCUGUCCGCGCUAUGUCCCGCCUGGUGUGAGGAGGUUCCCGUCGGUGAGCUGUCCGCAGGCCCUUCGGCGUGCAGGCGUGAGGCUCUGGGCAUUUUACAGUGAGGUAUAAGUGUGUCCCAGCCCUUCCUACCUACAACACCCUGGCUCUCCAGUUGUACCUCAUGCUGUUGGGGAAGCAGGAGGAUCUUAGAGGGAGGGCAGCUGCCUGAGCAGAAGGGCAAUGAGGCAAUGACAAUCUUUGCAAACUGUGUGUUCUUUAUUAAAGUGAAAUACCCACUCAGGAGAAGAGCAGACUGAAAGUGUGCAUAAAAGAAAAUGGUGGAGUGGUUUAUUUUGUGCUGAAUCUCAAGGUACUAAUUCCAGCAAGCUCGUAAAUACUGCCAUAUUAAUGAGUGCUUACUUCUAAUCCACCUUGCGGAUUAGUUCAUUUGAGGAAUGAUUGUGCUUUGUGGAGAAGAGGAAAUAGAAGGAGUGUGAAGAAUACAAAGUAAGGAGGGUAUGAAAAUACAAAUCUUUCAAAUCCUGUAAGAACUGGCCUUCAGGACAGAUUGGGAAAUCCUGUCCCUCUGAAAAGUGUAGAUAUCAAGGCAACGACAACAGACUUUGUAGCACAGUGGCAUCUGUUCUAUGACCAAGUCCAUCAAAGCAAAGAAGAGUCGGAACAUACAGGGCAUAAACCAGAAAUUAUCAGAUGACAAGGAACAAUAUGAAGGGCAAUGAGGAAUUGGUAGAGUUUUGUGAUGACACGUGAUCUGCUGCUUGUGUAUUUGAAGCUUUUAUCAACGGAAACCAUGUCACCGGAGAGGUGAAAUGUUUUUUGUACUUUGAUGUAGCUCCUUCAAUCUCAAGAUCUGAAAGCACUCAAUAAUGAAGAUGUGCAACACUCGUUUUGGUUUCUCUUGUGUCCCUUGUUGCCACCACUUGACUGGAUUUCAGGUAACUGUAAACAUCUUUGUCAUAAAGCAACGUGAACCCAAACUUAGGAAUGCUGUGAUUGGUAGGAAGCCUCUAUCUCUGAGGAUGUAUUUGUUCCUGCAAGACUUAGAAAGUUGACUCGAGUUGGCACAGGUUAGAUUUCAUAUUUUGAGUUUGCUGGUUUUGUGCUGCUGUCUCCCCUCAGCCUCCUUUCCUCCAGGCUGAACAGCCCCAGUUCCCUCAGCUGCUCCUCAUCACACUUGUGCUCCAGACCCCUCACCAGCUUUGUUGCCCUUCUCUGAACUCUCUCCAGCACCUCAAUGUCUUUCCUGUGCUGAGGGGCCCAAAAUUGAACAUGGUAUUCAAGGUAUGUCCAGUUGGAAUCUCCCCAGGAGUAACGUGUACCCAUUACCCCUUGUCUUUUCCAUGUGACUCCUUGCAAAAAGGGAGUCUGCAUCUUCUUUAUAGCCACCCUUUAAAUACUGGAACAUGGUGACAAGGUCUCCCCUGAGCCUUCUCAAGUCUGAGCAAACCCACUUCUCUCAGCCUUUCCUCACACAACAGCUUCUCAGUCCUUUGAUCAUCUUUGUGGCCUUUCUCUGGACCUUCUCCAGCCUGUCCACAUCUUGUGGGUCACACAUUCAAUAUCUGUAAGUAAUAAACAGAAGGAGGUUCUCAAGAGUAUUACGUGAGCCAAGUGAAGAAGCCACCAUGGGACGUCCUCAAUAGAGACUCCUGUUGUUUAUCAGCAGGUUGGCUAAUCAACACGGUGGUUUGUUGAAUUCCCUUUUGCUGGGAGUACACCCUGUACACCAGAUGCAGUGAGUUCCAAGUGCCCAGCUUCAUGUUCCUUUGUGCAGCACAGUCCACCCUGUAAUCUGCAUCCUUGUGACUUAGUCUUGCUAUUUUUUAAAGCAUUGCUUAAUUCUCCAUGUAAUUAACUUUAUACAUAAAGUUUGUACGUGAAAGCAGGAAAGUAUAGCCAACCUCAGCAUCAAGAAGAUACAUAUAUUUUCCUGUAUUUUUGACAGGACACUUUAAAGAAAUAAUUUCUAAACCCUGAACCAAAACUAUGUGCCACAGGGAUAUAAUGGGGAGUAGAGUAGUAGACAUGUGAUUGACUCUUGUGGGAAUUAACUCUCAAAAUGCAGUUCAAGAUUUCUUCUUUAUCAGCAGAAUUGCCAGUUGUUGAAUUUUUUAAAAGUUGCUCACAGUUUUUUACACUAAUUAAACUUAAUAUUCUCCACUUUUUACAUAAUUUGGAUAAUUACUAUCUAAGCAUCCAUUUAAAAUCAUAUAUUAUCUUCUAAAUUACCUUAAACGAGUCUGUAAAUGGUUAUAAAUUUGUGUCUACAGUUACAGUAGAGUUACAGUUUCAGUUUCUGGAACAUAAAGCUGCAAGAACAGGUAGAGUUUCAAAAGCAUUUAAUAUUGAAGAAUAAGUACUUGAACAUCCUGUUGAAAGCCUGCCUUCCAUCUGACCUGAGGGUAGCAAUUUGACACAUAAUUUUAUUCAUGGGAGUUGUCUAUUUUUUGGCAGGGAAAGUCAGAUAAAAUAGGAUUAGUUUUGUUAAUACUGCCUUUAACAACAUAUAUGGUAAAAUGAAUACUUUUAUAGAGACUUUGCAUUCUCAGCAGAGGAGAAGGAUCCUUGAUUGUUCCUGCUGGGUAACAGGAAUGCUUAUUUCUUAGCACCUUUAAAACUAAUUUUCAGAAGGAAUUUGAAAUACAUUUGGAAAGGAUAGUGUUGUCACUGUGCAUACUUCAUACGGGAGUGAUUUCAAAGUGACUGUUCUUACUGCUUGAGGAGUUUUUACAAGGUAGGCUAACUACAACAUUCCCGAUCAAUUACAGACAUUUGAUGGUAUAUGAAAGGUUUUUGAAGUUUAUUAUUUGGAUCACCUAAAUUGAUUAUGUGGAUUUGAGUCUUUGUGUUUCUGUAAGCUUUUUAGAAAAUGUCUUAAAUAAUUCUCCUCUGUCCAUUUUCUUCUUGCCAAAUACAUUUUCAGUGUCCUGAAUCUUUGGCUUAUCCAUAUCUUUGUUCCAUAGGAUGGCUCUUGGAAUCUCAGUCCACGGUUGAGAAAAAAUCUUGAAAUUUGAUGUUGAUCGUUUAAUUAACAAUUUUCUUAUUAGAAAAGACAUCCAAUCACUCGGCCCGAAUGGAGAAAAAAAAAAGCUACUGCAGUCGGUGGCUGCUCUUGUGCUGCAGUUCAUACACUGCACAAAGAAAUUGAAAGGGAUAGUUUUCAAAAGACUGAUAAAACUGGAUGAUUCAUCUAAUUCAAGGUGUGCUUUGAAAUAAAAUCUUGUAAUUUAAUGUAGUAAUGUAAACCUUCUCAACACACAGAAGAUUAAUUUCAUUAUGGAGAGUCAAUGACUAAACUGCAUGAUAUGGCUGUAGAAAAGGGAAUGGAAGGUAUUAAUCAUAUUGGUGGCACGUGGUUUCUUUUAAGAAGAUGGAUGGAGGAAGGAAUGCUGUGCAAAAUAUGAUACAAAAAUAGAGAAGCAUAGAAAGCAGUAAAAGAUACUUUAUACUUAUUAUAAUAAUUUAAUAGUUCAGGUUGGAUGUGACCUCUGGAGGACAUCUCUUCCUUAAAGCAGGGCCAGCUCAGGUAUUGGAUAAGUUCUUCAGGAUCUGGCCCAGCUGAAUAUUAAAUAUCUUCAAGGAUGGAUUUUCAUGUACCUCAACCUUUUUAAGGGCAACCUUUUCCACUUUUAAUAUCACGUAUUUUAGAAACUAGGAAAAAAAUCCUAUUGGACCUUUUGUUCAUGAAAUUUGUGCCGUUUGGCCUGCAUCCUUGUUUAGAAUUAUAAUGAUGGUUUGGUGUUCUUCAUAAGCAUACACCAUAAAAUAUUCUAUACAAGACUCUUGAAAUUCUUAGAGCAGACAAUUUUUCACAGCACAGUUUCCACCCUUUCCUUUAGCUGCAGUGAUGGAAUGCUGGUGCUGGAUCCCCAGCCCUCACUUCUGUGUGUCACAGUGCACUAUCAUCUUUUGAAUAUACUGUCCGUAUGGGGAUAUAGCGGAAGAUUUGGCGAGGAGAUUAGUUAAAUGUAAAUAUGCUCAAGUGACUUACACCUGUCUGUAGAAAAAGCACACACAUCACACUAAUUGUUUUACUGACCUUGUGUGCUUGACAAGUAGAACCUCUGUGUUAGAUAACACAGGCCUGUGAGAAACUCUAGGCACCUUAUCACUAUGUCUGAGAUUCCUGCUUUGUUGUGAGAAAGGGUGGGAGGCUGCGCCUGCCUGAAGCCUUGAAAUACAGGCGAGCUCAGCAGGCCGGUGAUCUUCCAGCAGGGCUGAACUUAGCAGUGCCUGUGUCCCCACCUUUGUCACCUCUGCCUGGGGGCUUAGGUGCGACUUUGGAGACCCCCCAGUAGAGAGGUAACUAAAAUAAAACUUGCUCUUUGCAAUGCAUUCGUGGCCUCUGGCUCUUCUUGCGAUGUGCCUGUAUAUGUGUACACACUGUCCCUGCUCCUGGAAAUUCCCUUUUGUUGCAGGCAAAGUGAACAAUUAUCAGGUGGCAAGUUUUUUGGUAUAAAGGAAAGGCGAAGGUAUUAAAAGAAGCAUGAAGAAGUCAGCCUCCAGUUAAUCUGGAUUGCCCCAGCCACCAACAGAUUCCUUGUGCCAAAAUGGGAAGGUUUACACACUUUGCACUUUACAAGGCAUGUAGGAACAAGAUAAAGAAACAGCCAGGAGAGUGCUGCAAAGUCUUCCUCCCUCUUUUGAAACUCUCUGACAGUAAGAAAAAGUUGGUUGUAUAGUUUUGGCUACUUGAUCUGGAAUACAAAUAAAACUGCAUUGAUUGCUGGCUGAUAGCAGGCUGGGUAGACCAAAAACAGAGAAUUCUAACGUAUCUGAACGCACAAAGGGGGAGUCAGGUUUGCCUUUAUGAAAUGCAGUGUACUUCACUGUGGUGACUGAAAUAGUGCAGACAAAUGCAAGUAAUGAUUAUAAGUCUACAUAUUUCCCAUGUGCAAGAUUCUAAAAAGACAGAGUGGCUCAAGUUAUGGUGUUUUCUGCAUCAGAUUACAUUUUAUACAGGCUGGACCAUUGUACUAUAGAAAAUACCCAAUUUCAAAUAAUUAUAGUUAAAAUAAAUUUUCUUCAUGCUCCUUUGGUGGAUUUACAAGAUCUCAUUGUAAUUAAACUUCAUUUCUAUGCACAGUGGUGUUCACUGGGCUUUUGAGUUGGUCAAGAAAGUGAUAAAGUGGGUAAGAAUUGUUGAGAGGCGUUUUCCAUCAGUUUGCUAGCAACUUGAACUUGGGAAAGACUGGGAUUCUGCCACCAAGAAGAUAUUUGGCAUCAAGUUUAUCUAACAUCAGUUCUCUUUCUACUGUGGGAAACUACAGCAGGUCUGUGGAAUCCUUGACAGAGAGUACGGGAAUAGAGAUCAGCCUUGAAGAUAUUCAGGUUUACCCUUGAGAAGGAGGGGAGUAAAGGAGUGUCUGGAGAUACUAAGUUGUACCCGUGAGAGAGAAGGGAGUAGAAGAGUAACAUGUAUGAUAGCAAAAUUAGCCAAUGAGAUGUUGCUGCUGUAACUCGUAACCAAUAGUGAAGAGACACAUGAAUUGGUAGAACUGUAUAAAAAUGCACUUGUGGCAAUAAAUGGCAUCUACUACUUUCAUCCUGGAAGAA
This is a long non-coding RNA of Columba livia (rock pigeon), 5790 nucleotides long. RefSeq lists it as uncharacterized. The record is from RefSeq and is a predicted model, not a curated record. The transcript is spliced from 10 exons. Lineage: Eukaryota; Metazoa; Chordata; Aves; Columbiformes; Columbidae.